This 3195-nucleotide long non-coding RNA is filed under the name Equus caballus (horse). Its description in RNAcentral is "lncRNA (ENSECAG00000048484.1)". Lineage: Eukaryota; Metazoa; Chordata; Mammalia; Perissodactyla; Equidae. The record is from RNAcentral.
GCCGGGGCCAGCCGGGCCCGCACCCUGUGGGGCCGGCCUCUCGGCGCCGCCGCCGCCGCGUGCGGGAUGCGGGACCGGAAACGCGGAGCAGGGUGGGCGGGGGCACGUGAGAGCCGCUGCGAGUGAGAGCGUGCCGGAGGGUGACGCUGGCGUGUAAGAGGGACCUUGAGCGUGAGGGUGACUCCAGGAGUGUGGGAGACCUUGAGUGUAAGACUGAGCGUGGGAGAAAGACUCCGUGUGUGAGAGAGAGACUCCGAGUCUGAGGGCGACUGUGAGUGUGCAAGACCGGGUGUGAGAUGACGCUGAGAGUAUGGGAGAAACCUUGUAAGGGAGACUCUGUUUGAGUAUGUGUGUGUGAGAGAGAGAGGGACAGAGAAACAGACAUCCUGGACUAGAAGGAGGCUGCAUGUGGGUGAAACCCUGAUUCUGAGGGUGAGUCUGUGAGUGUGUAAGACCCUGAGUGUGAAGGUGGUGCUGUUAGUGUGAGGGAGACUCUGUGUGUAUGUGAGAGACCUCGGGUGUGAGGGUGAGUCCAUGUGUGAGAGAGACUGAGAGUGUGAGAAAGACUGAGAGGGAGAUUGUGAGUGUGAGGGAGACUGUGUGUGAGAGUGGCCCUAAGUGUGACACUGAAUGUGUGAGAGGGACUGUUUGAGAUAUGCAAGUGUGAGUCUCUGAAGGUAAGAACGAGAAGCUGUGCUGUGUGUAAGAGACUCUGAAAGUGAGGAAGGGCUGAGGGGGCGAGACUUGGAGGACGUGAACGCAAGAACAGAGCUUCUUGGGGAUGCUGAUAAUGGGCUCGUGUUGGGGCUUGGGAGUGCUGGCCUUUGGAGCUAGAGAAUGGUGCGCUCCUCUUUUUAUGGCUCUUUUUGGUGUCUCCACAUCCUGUCAUCUUGUUUGAUCAUCUCAUGUCGUACAUGGAAGGCGAUAUUUGUGAAACAUUCUGAGAAUUCUUCACUAAGCUCUAAGCAAACAGUCUAGGCACCAGGUUGUGUAAUGGUCAGUACAAAUAGGAAUCAAUAUUUAAUUUAACAGAUGUUUUUGAGUACCUCUUGUGUGCAGUGGGUUAUGUGCUUGGUGACACAGUUAAAAAGAAUUUGGUCUCUGCCCUUGAUGGGGGGGAAAAAAGCACUGCCAGCAAAUCUAGCACCGUGGUAGCAGAAUGCUCAGUUCUCCGAUGCUAAUCUCUGAGAGCUGCUCCCUGGUUUGAAGAUCUGGGAGGAGCAGACUUUUGAAAGCCUGUGAGUGCUUUCUGAAAUCAUUUUCAGCUUUCUUUGCUUGCUGUGAGGCUGUAUAGGAAACAGUCCAGGCUCCCUACAUUGCUGAGGUCCCAUUGUGUACUAGUGGCUUUUGCUUUCUGACUUUGGUCUCAGACUGUUCAAGUUCUUAUAUUUGAUUUUCCUUUCCUGAUAAAUAUGUAGAAAACCACAAGCCUGAUUUUUCUCCUAUCUUCCUCCUUCCCUGUCUGGCUGUGGACGUUAUUUUUAUUGCAGAUCAAGAGUAAAUACGAGUUAUAUGGCUGAUCUCCCUGGCAGUUCUUGGUACAGGAAAUUUCCUGACCUCUGUGCUGUCUGCUGUAGUCUCCAGGUUGUGGAUAUAUUUCUACAAAAGUGACGCAAACGGUGCUCAUGGGACCUGAGAUUCAGGGAAGGGCAGCUGUCUACACAUGCAUGAUUUGAGAUGACUGAGCUGGUUCUCUGACACAUUUGCUUCAGUUACAUUCCGCUGUGAGUGAGAGGGAACUUAUCAGUAAUUGAGUGCUGCUCCUGCUGGGCAUGUAAAGCUUAGAUUUUUACAAAGGGAAAUAUCGCCCUACUGCUUCUUAGGUUCCUUUUUUGAUAAGUUGUGUCUUACUCUUUAUUGCAGAGAUUAAAUGGUCAAGACAGGGACUGAGUACCGAUCCUGUGCUAGGCUUUGUACUUGGUGCUGCUGAAACAGACAAGGAGCUCACAGACUAGUUGAGAGAGACUGAAGGUAAGUAAAUGCAACAGAGUGAGGCAGAAGUUUGUACUAGAAGCGUUAGGGGCACAAGGAGAUAUGUGGAGCAAGAUGGUAGCGAGGAUGUUGAGGAAAAGGUGGGAGAAGGGUGUUGGAGGCAGAGGGCUCAGCCUGAGCAAAGGUGUAUUUGUCUGAUGGGCUCUGGAAACCCUGGACUCCAGGUUCUGGAAACUUCAGGUAAUUCAGUGUGACAGGACCAUGAGUGGGACUGUAUGCAGCACGGGGUCUAGUGACAAGGCCCUGCUGAGAAGGUUGGAGCUGGUCCUAAAGCCCUCAGGCAGCACCUGAGGGAUUGUUCCUAACUGUGCUCUGAUAGCAGUUGAGUAGAUCGGAAGGUUGGUAUUCUGUUGUGAAACUUGAGGAGCCAGCCAAAGCAGUGUUUCUCCCUGUGGGGAGGCUCUCUCCCACCCCUGACCUGCUUCCAUCUCCUGCGUGGAGGUAAGCCCUAUUGCAGGUGCCAAUUUUUUUUCUCAGAAUUCCCAUAAUUCCUUAGACAAGAACUAUGUUGGGACAGUCCUUUUUCAGGUCUUCUAGAUCCCUGCUGAUUUUAUGUCUACUUGUUCUGUUGAUGACUGAGAGAGGUGUGUUGAAGCCCCCAACUAUAAUCAUGGUUUUAUCGGUUUCUUUCAGAUCUCUCAGUUUUUGCAUGUAUUUUGAAGCUAUGUUGUUGGAGGAAAUAGACAUUUAGAAUUGUCUUCUUGGUAAAUUGACCUCUUUAUCAUUCUGUAAUGUCCUAUUUAUCCCUAGCAGUAUUUCUUAUUCUGAAGUCUGUUUUGUCUGAUGUUGAUACAGCUACUCCACCUUUCUUUUAAUUUAGUGUUUGUAUGAUUUUUUCCAUCCUUUUGCCUGCAACUAAUUUAUGUCUUUAUAUUUAAAGUGGGUUUCCUGUAGACUGCAUAUUGGGUUUUGCAUUUUUCUCUAAUCUGACAAUGUGUUUCAAUUAGUGUGUUUAGAUCAUUUACAUUUCAUGUUGUUGAUAUGGUUGGAUUAAAAUCUGCCAUCUUGGGGCCGGCCCGGUGGCGCAGCAGUUAAGUGUGCAUGUUCUGCUUUGGCCGCCUGGGGUUCACCAGUUCAGAUCCUUGGUGCGGACAUGGCACCACUUGUCAAGCCAUGCUGUGGUAGGCGUCCCACAUAUAAAGUAGAGGAAGAUGGGCACGGAUGUUAGCUCAGGGCCAGUCUUCCUCAGCAAAAGGAAGAGGG